RNAcentral lists this ribosomal RNA (501 nucleotides) under uncultured bacterium. RNAcentral's name for it is "partial 16S ribosomal RNA". It matches the Rfam family "Bacterial small subunit ribosomal RNA", at positions 29 to 523 of the family's 1533-position model. The record is from RNAcentral.
AUUGAACGCUGGCGGCAUGCCUUACACAUGCAAGUCGAACGGCAGCACAGGUGCUUGCACCUGGUGGCGAGUGGCGAACGGGUGAGUAAUACAUCGGAACGUACCUUAUCGUGGGGGAUAACGCAGCGAAAGCUGUGCUAAUACCGCAUACGCCCUGAGGGGGAGAGCGGGGGAUCGCAAGACCUCGCGCGAUUAGAGCGGCCGAUGCCUGAUUAGCUAGUUGGUGGGGUAAAAGCCCACCAAGGCGACGAUCAGUAGCUGGUCUGAGAGGACGAUCAGCCACACUGGGACUGAGACACGGCCCAGACUCCUACGGGAGGCAGCAGUGGGGAAUUUUGGACAAUGGGGGCAACCCUGAUCCAGCAAUGCCGCGUGAGUGAGGAAGGCCUUCGGGUUGUAAAGCUCUUUUGUCAGGGAAGAAACACCGGCUCUAACACAGUCCGGGAAUGACGGUACCUGAAGAAUAAGCACCGGCUAACUACGUGCCAGCCGCCGCCGUAA